CUACGGGGGGCUGCAGUGGGGAAUAUUGCACAAUGGGGGAAACCCUGAUGCAGCAACGCCGCGUGAGUGAAGAAGUAUUUCGGUAUGUAAAGCUCUAUCAGCAGGGAAGAUAAUGACGGUACCUGACUAAGAAGCCCCGGCUAACUACGUGCCAGCAGCCGCGGUAAUACGUAGGGGGCAAGCGUUAUCCGGAUUUACUGGGUGUAAAGGGAGCGUAGGCGGCUUGGUAAGUCUGAUGUGAAAGCCCAGGGCUCAACCCUGGGACUGCAUUGGAAACUGUCAGGCUAGAGUGCAGGAGAGGUAAGUGGAAUUCCUAGUGUAGCGGUGAAAUGCGUAGAUAUUAGGAGGAACACCAGUGGCGAAGGCGGCUUACUGGACUGUAACUGACGCUGAGGCUCGAAAGCGUGGGGAGCAAACAGGAUUAGAUACCCGCGUAGUC
Molecule: ribosomal RNA, 439 nt
Filed under: uncultured bacterium
Lineage: Bacteria
Description: partial 16S ribosomal RNA
Rfam family: Bacterial small subunit ribosomal RNA
Source: RNAcentral